GGGUUGUGAGGUUAAGCGACUAAGCGUACACGGUGGAUGCCCUGGCAGUCAGAGGCGAUGAAGGGCGUGCUAAUCUGCGAUAAGCGCCGGUAAGGUGAUAUGAACCGUUAUAACCGGCGAUACCCGAAUGGGGAAACCCAGUGUGACUCGUCACACUAUCAUUAACUGAAUCCAUAGGUUAAUGAGGCGAACCGGG
Molecule: ribosomal RNA, 196 nt
Filed under: Salmonella enterica
Lineage: Bacteria; Pseudomonadati; Pseudomonadota; Gammaproteobacteria; Enterobacterales; Enterobacteriaceae
Description: partial 23S ribosomal RNA
Rfam family: Bacterial large subunit ribosomal RNA
Source: RNAcentral